This is a long non-coding RNA of Hypanus sabinus (Atlantic stingray), 713 nucleotides long. RefSeq lists it as uncharacterized. The record is from RefSeq and is a predicted model, not a curated record. The transcript is spliced from 3 exons. Lineage: Eukaryota; Metazoa; Chordata; Chondrichthyes; Myliobatiformes; Dasyatidae.
AACUCAAAUAUCUAAAUACCCAAUCUAGAAACUGUUUUUCAUAGUAAGUGUUGCUUUAUAUAGACGUUGUGCAGAUCUUUGAGAUCAUGUGCGUCACUGAAUCACUGAGCAUGUGAAAGGAAGAAGUGUCCAGGACAGAGGAAGGGACCUCGAUGGGGUUAGUAGCUGGACAUAGCUGCUACCAUUGCCUGAGAAGAGGAUGUGACAUCAGAGGUGCCUAGAUCCACCAAUCCAAAAUAAACACAACUGCUCUGCUGCAAAGGACUAUGGACCUGAGAACCAGACAACCCCAGUUCUGAGGCAUGCCCACCUCCAAUGCCCACUCUACGUAGAUUCACGAGAAGAAGGAAAAGGAGCCUCAGGACCUGCAUCACCAUGUUCAGGAACAGUUAUUACCCCUCAACUAUCAGACUCUUCAACCAGACGGGAUAACUUCACUCACCCCAUCACUGAACUGAACUCCACAAUCAAUGGACUCACUUUCAAGGACUCUUCAUCUCAUGUUCUCAAUAUUUAUUGUUAAUUUAUUUGUAUAACUUUCUUUUGUACAUUGGUUGGUCAUUUGUCCUGUUGGGGUAUGGUCUUCCAUUGAUUCUAUUAUGUUUCUUGGAUUUACUGUGUAUGCCCAUGAGAAAACUAAUCUUAGGUUUCUAUAUGGUGAUGUAAAUGUACUCUGAUAAUAUAUUUACUUUGAACUUUGAACAUUAAUUCAG